Molecule: ribosomal RNA, 300 nt
Filed under: uncultured Lactobacillus sp.
Lineage: Bacteria; Bacillati; Bacillota; Bacilli; Lactobacillales; Lactobacillaceae
Description: bacterial SSU rRNA
Rfam family: Bacterial small subunit ribosomal RNA (bases 52-300)
Source: RNAcentral
GAAAAGAGCGGGGGGGAGAGCGCGGUAAUAAGUAUGGGGGAAGGGGUGGUAGGAAUUAUUGGGCGUAAAGGGAAGGGAGGCGGGAUGUUAAGUCAGGUGUGAAAGCCAAGGGCUCAACGCUGGAACGGCAUCUGAGACUGGUGUUCGUGAGUUCGGAAGAGGAAGGCGGAAUUCCCGGUGUAGCGGUGAAAUGCGUAGAGAUCGGGAAGAACACCGGUGGCGAAGGCGGCCUUCUGGUCUAGGACUGACGCUGACAUGCGAAAGUGUGGGGAUCAAACGGGAUUAGAUACCCCUGUAGUC